GCCUGGGUGGCUCAGUCGGUUGAGCGUCCGACUUCGGCUCAGGUCAUGCUCACAGUUCGUGGGUUCGAGCCCCAUGUCAGGCU
RNAcentral lists this transfer RNA (83 nucleotides) under Felis catus (domestic cat). It matches the Rfam family "tRNA". Rfam says of the family: Transfer RNA (tRNA) molecules are approximately 80 nucleotides in length. The record is from Rfam by way of RNAcentral. Lineage: Eukaryota; Metazoa; Chordata; Mammalia; Carnivora; Felidae.